ACGGGAGGCCGCAGUGGGGAAUAUUGGGCAAUGGGCGAAAGCCUGACCCAGCAACGCCGCGUGAAGGAAGAAGGUCUUCGGAUUGUAAACUUCUUUUAUGAGGGACGAAGGACGUGACGGUUCCUCAUGAAUAAGCCACUGCUAACUACGUGCCAGCAGCCGCGGUACUACGUAGGCGGCAAGCGUUAUCCGGAGUUACUGGGUGUAAAGGGCGCGUAGGCGGGGAUGCAAGUCAGGUGUGAAAUCUAUGGGCUUAACUCAUAAACUGCACUUGAAACUGUAUCUCUUGAGUGCUGGAGAGGUAGAUGGAAUUCCUUGUGUAGCGGUGAAAUGCGUAGAUAUAAGGAAGAACACCAGUGGCGAAGGCGAUCUACUGGACAGUAACUGACGCUGAGGCGCGAAAGCGUGGGGAGCAAACAGGAUUAGAUACCCUGGUA
RNAcentral lists this ribosomal RNA (437 nucleotides) under uncultured Oscillospiraceae bacterium. Its description in RNAcentral is "bacterial SSU rRNA". It matches the Rfam family "Bacterial small subunit ribosomal RNA", at positions 341 to 792 of the family's 1533-position model. The record is from RNAcentral. Lineage: Bacteria; Bacillati; Bacillota; Clostridia; Eubacteriales; Oscillospiraceae.